RNAcentral lists this ribosomal RNA (482 nucleotides) under uncultured bacterium. RNAcentral's name for it is "partial 16S ribosomal RNA". It matches the Rfam family "Bacterial small subunit ribosomal RNA", at positions 27 to 507 of the family's 1533-position model. The record is from RNAcentral.
GGAUGAACGCUGGCGGCGUGCUUAACACAUGCAAGUCGAACGAAGCACUUUAUUUGCUUUCCUUCGGGACUGAUUAUUUUGUGACUGAGUGGCGGACGGGUGAGUAACGCGUGGGUAACCUGCCUUGUACAGGGGGAUAACAGUUGGAAACGGCUGCUAAUACCGCAUAAGCGCACAGCAUCGCAUGAUGCAGUGUGAAAAACUCCGGUGGUAUAAGAUGGACCCGCGUUGGAUUAGCUAGUUGGUGAGGUAACGGCCCACCAAGGCGACGAUCCAUAGCCGACCUGAGAGGGUGACCGGCCACAUUGGGACUGAGACACGGCCCAAACUCCUACGGGAGGCAGCAGUGGGGAAUAUUGCACAAUGGGCGAAAGCCUGAUGCAGCGACGCCGCGUGAGCGAAGAAGUAUUUCGGUAUGUAAAGCUCUAUCAGCAGGGAAGAUAAUGACGGUACCUGACUAAGAAGCACCGGCUAAAUACGUG